RNAcentral lists this ribosomal RNA (253 nucleotides) under uncultured bacterium. Its description in RNAcentral is "partial 16S ribosomal RNA". It matches the Rfam family "Bacterial small subunit ribosomal RNA", at positions 524 to 776 of the family's 1533-position model. The record is from RNAcentral.
UACGGGGGGGGCAAGCGUUGUUCGGAAUUACUGGGCGUAAAGGGCUCGUAGGCGGCCAACUAAGUCAGACGUGAAAUCCCCAGGCUCAACCUGGGAACUGCGUCCGAUACUGGAUGGCUUGAAUCCGGGAGAGGGAUGCAGAAUUCCAGGUGUAGCGGUGAAAUGCGUAGAUAUCGGCAGGAACACCCAGGGGGAAACCAGCCGCCUGGGCAAGCGCUGACGCUGAGGUGCGAGGGCGUGGGGAGCGAACCGG